UUCGUCUCUGCGGCCCAGAAACCUUUGCAUCCAACCCUAAUCACUCUGCACUUCUUCUCCUUCGCUUCCUCUCUACCUCUCCGGCGGCGAUAUGUCGAUUGUGCUUCUGUAACGGUUGUGAUUACUGCGUAAUUACUCCCAGUGUUUUGAUUCGUCGUCUGUGUGUAUAAAUAGGUUUGUGCCUCAUUCGAUUUCCAUUUUCGUGAUAUCUGAACUCUCUGCGUAUUUGACUCUUGCUCUUCGACUCUCUCUAUGGCUAUCUCCAAGUUGUUCUUCUCUGACCUGAGAACCGGCAGGUGCUCCUCCGUUGUCGAGGCGAGGCUGCUGCGGUUCUGGGAGGCCAAGAAUGUGAAACGUGGUGGGGAGCUCAUGUGGGCAGAUCUGCUAUUCGUGGAUGUCAAUGAAGAGCAUGACUGCUACCAUUAAUGUGAAGAUGUUCGUGACCCAUUUAGAAACAAAUGUUGGGUUGUACAAAUCCAGAUUUGAUUGAUCAGACGCAUUGAGUGACAAACGCGGCCAAUGUCGUUGGAAAAAAAUGCGGGAGGGAAGAUAGCCACAUUACAGCUGGUGGACAUGGAGUGCGAUUACCUUACUGUUGGAUUUUUCAAGAAGCUUCUCCAGCUCUGAGAAUGUUUCUAGGUUGUGGUCGUCCAGUAGCUCCACUGCUAAAGAGUUAUGCGAAUGUGGAAACGCUUAGCAUAUCUGAGCUCAAUGAUUUUGUCAUCACCGCUCCGUCCCAGGACAUUGGUUUUAUUUGUACCGGAAAAAUUACUGGAAAAAAGUUGGACAAGGGAUGGUGCUACGUUUCAUGUUCAAACUGUUCCAGGAAACUUCAACGGUCUGUCUCAUCUUUCACAUGUGUGCUAAGCGUUUUCUCCGUGCGCUAGAUACCGUGUGGAGAUGUCAGUUGCAGACGAAACUGGAGAAGGUUUGUUUGUUGGGUUUGAUGGAGCUUCAAAAUGAGGCCUUAUGAAGCUGUCAAUCUCUUGGUACUUGAGAGAAGUCAGUGAAGCCUAAUCAUCUGAAGAUAAUUGAUGAGGCAUAACAAAAUACACUUGCAAAAAGACUAAGAGGAGAGUUAACAGAAAAAAAAUAACUAUAAGAAAAAGAGGGGAGGGAGCUAGAGAGAGUUCACAUCAUGACGUUAGUUACGAAUUCUGCGAGGUCCAAAAAAGACCCCAAAAUAGGGAGGAAAAAAAGUUAAGAGUGAGUGAGUUUCUUAGUUAUGUACAAUGAGUUGGCUCUUUCAGUACAUCAAUUUGGUGAUUUAGUGUUUACAAGCCAGCUAAAAACAUGAAAAGGUGAGAAAACAGACUACGGCGUCUAAAAUAUAUACAACCAAGUUUGGUAGUUGA
This is a long non-coding RNA of Raphanus sativus (radish), 1355 nucleotides long. RefSeq lists it as uncharacterized. Lineage: Eukaryota; Viridiplantae; Streptophyta; Magnoliopsida; Brassicales; Brassicaceae. The record is from RefSeq and is a predicted model, not a curated record. The transcript is spliced from 6 exons.